Molecule: ribosomal RNA, 497 nt
Filed under: uncultured bacterium
Lineage: Bacteria
Description: partial 16S ribosomal RNA
Rfam family: Bacterial small subunit ribosomal RNA
Source: RNAcentral
GAUGAACGCUGGCGGCGUGCCUAAUACAUGCAAGUCGAGCGAACAGAUAAGGAGCUUGCUCCUUUGACGUUAGCGGCGGACGGGUGAGUAACACGUGGGUAACCUACCUAUAAGACUGGAAUAACUCCGGGAAACCGGGGCUAAUGCCGGAUAACAUGUUGAACCGCAUGGUUCUACAGUGAAAGGCGGCUUUGCUGUCACUUAUAGAUGGACCCGCGCCGUAUUAGCUAGUUGGUGAGGUAACGGCUCACCAAGGCAACGAUACGUAGCCGACCUGAGAGGGUGAUCGGCCACACUGGAACUGAGACACGGUCCAGACUCCUACGGGAGGCAGCAGUAGGGAAUCUUCCACAAUGGGCGAAAGCCUGGCGGGGCAACGCCGCGUGAGUGAUGAAGGUCUUCGGAUCGUAAAACUCUGUUAUUAGGGAAGAACAAAUGCGUAAGUAACUGUGCGCGUCUUGACGGUACCUAAUCAGAAAGCCACGGCUAACUACGUG